UGCAAGUCGAGGGGUAGAGUUCUUCGGAGCUUGAGACCGGCGCACGGGUGCGUAACGCGUAUGCAAUCUACCUUUUACAGAGGGAUAGCCCAGAGAAAUUUGGAUUAAUACCUCAUAGUAUAUCACAAUCGCAUGAUUGAGUUAUUAAAGUCACAACGGUAAAAGAUGAGCAUGCGUCCCAUUAGCUAGUUGGUAAGGUAACGGCUUACCAAGGCUACGAUGGGUAGGGGUCCUGAGAGGGAGAUCCCCCACACUGGUACUGAGACACGGACCAGACUCCUACGGGAGGCAGCAGUGAGGAAUAUUGGACAAUGGGCGCAAGCCUGAUCCAGCCAUGCCGCGUGCAGGAUGACGGUCCUAUGGAUUGUAAACUGCUUUUAUACGAGAAGAAACACUCCGACGUGUCGGAGCUUGACGGUAUCGUAAGAAUAAGGAUCGGCUAACUCCGUGCCAGCAGCCGCGGUAAUACGGAGGAUCCAAGCGUUAUCCGGAAUCAUUGGGUUUAAAGGGUCCGUAGGCGGUUUGGUAAGUCAGUGGUGAAAGCCCAUCGCUCAACGGUGGAACGGCCAUUGAUACUGCCAGACUUGAAUUAUUAGGAAGUAACUAGAAUAUGUAGUGUAGCGGUGAAAUGCUUAGAGAUUACAUGGAAUACCAAUUGCGAAGGCAGGUUACUACUAAUUGAUUGACGCUGAUGGACGAAAGCGUGGGUAGCGAACAGGAUUAGAUACCCUGGUAGUCCACGCCGUAAACGAUGGAUACUAGCUGUUGGGAGCAAUCUCAGUGGCUAAGCGAAAGUGAUAAGUAUCCCACCUGGGGAGUACGUUCGCAAGAAUGAAACUCAAAGGAAUUGACGGGGGCCCGCACAAGCGGUGGAGCAUGUGGUUUAAUUCGAUGAUACGCGAGGAACCUUACCAAGGCUUAAAUGUAGAUUGACCGGUUUGGAAACAGAUCUUUCGCAAGACAAUUUACAAGGUGCUGCAUGGUUGUCGUCAGCUCGUGCCG
RNAcentral lists this ribosomal RNA (1002 nucleotides) under Flavobacterium pectinovorum. RNAcentral describes it as "bacterial SSU rRNA". It matches the Rfam family "Bacterial small subunit ribosomal RNA", at positions 56 to 1067 of the family's 1533-position model. The record is from RNAcentral. Lineage: Bacteria; Pseudomonadati; Bacteroidota; Flavobacteriia; Flavobacteriales; Flavobacteriaceae.